CUUGUACACACCGCUCCUCACGUCAAGGGAGCUGGUCACGCCUGAAGCUGGUGGGCUAACCACAAGGGGGCUGCCGUAGAAGAGAGGGCUCGUGAAUGGGACGAAGUUGUAACAAGGUAGCGUAGCGGAAGCUGCGGAAGGAUCACCUCCUAAAAGCA
This 158-nucleotide ribosomal RNA is filed under the name uncultured bacterium. Its description in RNAcentral is "partial 16S ribosomal RNA". It matches the Rfam family "Bacterial small subunit ribosomal RNA", at positions 1380 to 1533 of the family's 1533-position model. The record is from RNAcentral.